Molecule: long non-coding RNA, 211 nt
Filed under: Linum usitatissimum (flax)
Lineage: Eukaryota; Viridiplantae; Streptophyta; Magnoliopsida; Malpighiales; Linaceae
Description: long non-coding RNA (LUSI_LNC000128)
Source: RNAcentral
GCUAUUUUAUUUUAUUUUACCUUAACCAUCCUUAAUAAGUUAAUAUUCCCCCAACUGAAAAAAUUACCUCAUUAAUUUAACUCCUCCGUUUCGCCGUUUUAAUUUUAUACAUUUUAACCCGUCAUCACCGUCAGUCUCCGUUAUAAAACUGUUCUUCUUCUUAUUACUAUUUACUACUACUGCAUUGCUAGCUAUCCACCACUCCGUUAUC